Molecule: ribosomal RNA, 256 nt
Filed under: uncultured bacterium
Lineage: Bacteria
Description: partial 16S ribosomal RNA
Rfam family: Bacterial small subunit ribosomal RNA
Source: RNAcentral
UACGAAGGGGGCUAGCGUUGUUCGGAUUUACUGGGCGUAAAGCGCACGUAGGCGGAUCGUUAAGUCGGGGGUGAAAUCCUGGAGCUCAACAUCCCAGAACUGCCUUCGAUACUGGCGAUCUUGAGUCCGGAAGAGGUGAGUGGAACUCCUAGUGUAGAGGUGGAAUUCGUAGAUAUUAGGAAGAACACCAGUGGCGAAGGCGGCUCACUGGUCCGGUACUGACGCUGAGGUGCGAAAGGCGUGGGGAGCAAACAGG